UUUCAAAAGUUUUGGACGUUUAGAGAAAAAUUCUCGUUUAACGAAAAUAUUAUAGCGACAGGUUAUAAUGAAUCCCGUUUGGAAACAAAUAUUUAUUUAAAAAUAGUGAACUGAAACAUCUUAGUAACUAAUUCAAAAAAUCAAACGAAAUUUUGUGAGUAGUGGCGAGCGAAAGCGAAAAGGCUUAUUAUUGCUUUUGUAUGAUUAAAACUUCGGGGUUGGAAUACCAAACUAUAAUUGGUAAUAGUCCAAAUAUAUUUAAAGCAAUAGUUAAAUGUUAAUGGCGGGAUACGUGUAUUCCUGUUAAUAUGUGGGGGGACCACCCUCCAAGCUAAAUGACUUUUGAAAACCAAUAGUAAAUUAGUACCGUGAGGGAAAGCUUGAAAUAGAAGUUGCAAGUUUAAAGCCUGAAAAAGGUAAAUGAAAAAGAUCGAGAAAUCUAGUGUCAAAAAGCAGUUGAAGUAAUUUAAAUUACAUCAGCGUACCUUUUGCAUAAUGGGUCAGCAAGUAUACAUAAUUAGCAAGCUUAAAUUGUUAAAUGUAAGCGUAAUGAAAUUGAAAAUAAGUUAUUUAUGUAUGACCCGAAACCAAGUGAUCUAACCAUGAUCAAGUUGAAGUUUAUGUAAAAGUAAAUGAAGGACUGAACUCGUGUAUGUUGCAAAAUACUGGGAUGAAUUGUGGUUAGGAGUGAAAGGCUAAUCAAACUUGGAAAUAGCUGGUUUUCUGCGAAAUCUAUUUAGGUAGAGUGAUUAUAUUUUUUAAGGGUGGUAAAGCUCUUGUUAAGCUAGGGGGGCUAAAAUCCUACCAAACUUAGUUAAACUUUGAAUUUCUUUAAAUAUUAUAAUUAAACAGACUUGCGAUGAGAAGGUCGUAGGUCGACAGGGAAACAGCCCAACUUACAGGUUAAGGUCCCAAAAUAAAAACUAAGUGAAAUAAAAUAGUGAAAUAACGAAGACAACUAUCAGGUGGGCUUAGAAUCAGCCAUCCUUUAACGAAAGCGUAAAAGCUCAUUGGUCUUUAUUACAAUUUAUUUUGUAAUUAGUUAUUUUGCAUUGACAAUGUAACGGGGCUAAAGUUUUUUACCGAAACCGUAAUUAGAUAAAUAAUAUUUCUAAGGUAGCAGAACGUUUUGUAUAGUUGAAAUUAGUUGCAAAACUCUUUUUUUUAUCAAAAGUGAGAAUGCUGGCAUGAGUAACUAUAAUUAAGGUGUAAAUCCUUAACGUCGAAAAUCCAAGGUUUUCUAAAAAAUGAUUGACAAUUUAGAGUUAUACGGCCCCUAAGGGAAAUGUGAAAACUUUUUUCUGAUGGGUAUAAAGUUUUUAGAGAGCGUAUAUCAGUUUGCGAUUAUCUUUCUAUUUUCUUUAUAUGAGAAAUAAGUGACGGUUAAAAACCUUGAAAAAUAACUAUUCUUGUAAACCGUACUGUAAACCGACACAGGUGGGUUAGCAUAAAAUGCGUAGACGUUUGAAAUAACUAUGUUGAAGGAACUCGGCAAAUUAGCCCUGUAACUUCGGGAGAAGGGGUGUCUUUUAUAAAAUUAUAAAAGAUGACACUAAAGUGGAGGUAGCGACUGUUUAAUAAAAACACAGGACUCUGCUAAAUCGUAAGAUGAUGUAUAGGGUCUGACACCUGCCCGGUGCUGGUAGUUUAAGAUUGGGAAAUGGAAGUUUUUCAAUUAAGGCCCAGUAAACGGCGGCCGUAACCAUAACGGUCCUAAGGUAGCGAAAUUCCUUGGCGGGUAAGUUCCGUCCUGCACGAAUGGUGUAACGACUUCCUCACUGUCUCCAACAUAGUUUCAGUGAAAUUGAAUUCUCCGUGAAGAUGCGGAGUAGUAGUGGCUAGACGGGAAGACCCCGUGCACCUUUACUACACAUAUUCAUUGUAAAGAAACAUUUUCUACGUAGAAUAGGUGAGAGCAAAAAAUGUCUUGAUUUAGGUCAAUAGCAUUUAGCGCCAAUGAAAUAUCACUUUGAAAUUGUUUUUUUACUAAAUAAAAUUUUAUGAUAGUGUAUAUUUGGUAGUUUGACUGGGGCGGUCGCCUCCUAAAAUGUAACGGAGGCGUACAAAGGUAAAUUCGUACUUUUAUUGAAAAAUAUUAGUAUUUAGAGUGUAAUGGCAUAAAUUUACUUGACUGUAAAACUAACAAGUUGAGCAGGGAGAUAGUUAAUUCUAUUUCGGUCAUAGUGAUCCGGUGGUGCUUAGUGGACAGGCCAUCGCUCAACGGAUAAAAGGUACGCCGGGGAUAACAGGCUGAUGAUUUCCAAGAGUCCUUAUCGACGAAGUCGUUUGGCACCUCGAUGUCGGCUCAUCUUAUCCUGGAGCUGUAAAAGGUUCCAAGGGUUGCCCUGUUCGGGCAUUAAAAAGGUACGUGAGCUGGGUUUAGAACGUCGUGAGACAGUUCGGUCCCUAUCUACCAUUACAUAUUUGAAAAGGUAAGAAAAUUUGCUUCUAGUACGAGAGGAUCGAAGUGAACUGAUCCAUUGUGUACCGGUUGUUGUAUUGAUCAGCAUUGCCGGGUAGCUACAUCAGGUGCGAAUAACUACUGAAAGCAUCUCAAGUAGGAAAUCCUUUUCUUUAUUUUCUUAAAAUAGUUUAAGACUAAAACUUAAAUAGGCAUUACGUGAACGUAUUGUAAAAUAUUCAGCAUAAGUGUACUAAUUAUUAUUUUUGAGUCAACAGUAAAAAUGUUUGGAAAUAAAAUAAAAUUUUAUGA
This 2713-nucleotide ribosomal RNA is filed under the name Gloeochaete wittrockiana. RNAcentral describes it as "LSU rRNA". It matches the Rfam family "Bacterial large subunit ribosomal RNA". The record is from RNAcentral. Lineage: Eukaryota; Glaucocystophyceae; Gloeochaetales; Gloeochaetaceae.